Long non-coding RNA from Sander lucioperca (pikeperch), 108 nucleotides. RefSeq lists it as uncharacterized. The transcript has 3 exons. NCBI's taxonomy places the organism in Eukaryota, Metazoa, Chordata, Actinopteri, Perciformes, Percidae. The record is from RefSeq and is a predicted model, not a curated record.
AUCACAAAUAUGCACACUUGAACAAACACCAGCGUGAUCAACUACCUAAACUGACAGAAACCAUCUUUGGGAAACAUCUAUUUGAAGUGUAAUUCUUUUUGUCUCAUC